Molecule: ribosomal RNA, 254 nt
Filed under: uncultured bacterium
Lineage: Bacteria
Description: partial 16S ribosomal RNA
Rfam family: Bacterial small subunit ribosomal RNA
Source: RNAcentral
UACGGGGGGGGCAAGCGUUGUUCGGAAUUACUGGGCGUAAAGGGCUCGUAGGCGGCCAACUAAGUCAGACGUGAAAUCCCUCGGCUCAACUGAGGAACUGCACGGGAAACUGUUUGGCUUGAGUUCGGGAGAGGGAAGCGGAAUUCCGGGUGUAGCGGUGAAAUGCGUAGAUAUCCGGAGGAACACCGGUGGCGAAGGCGGCUUCCUGGACCGACACUGACGCUGAGUGAGCGAAAGCCAGGGGAGCAAACGGG